AGGGGGGAAAAUAAUGAUAAAAUAAAUAGAAGGGGAGAGGUGUAACGGCGAGGGAAAAUAAAGCGGAGGAAGCAAUUCCGAUCUAAUGGCGGCUCCGGCUGUGGAAGGCGCAGCAGUCACAGCGCUGCGAGCGGUGAUGCAUCGAGUCCGACUGGCGGCGGAGAGGUCUGGUCGCCGCGCCGACGAUGUCAGGGUUGUGGCUGUGAGCAAGACCAAGCCAGUGCCGGUAAUAGCACAAGUGUACGACGCCGGGCACCGAUGUUUUGGUGAAAACUAUGUUCAGGAACUAAUCGAGAAAGCUCCUCAGCUUCCAGAGGACAUUGAAUGGCAUUUUGUCGGGCAUUUGCAGAGCAACAAAGUGAAAGCGCUGCUAACUGCUGUUCCGAAUCUAGAUAUGGUCGAGGGUGUUGAUAAUGAGAAGGUUGCAAAUGUUCUUGACCGCACAGUUUCAACUCUUGGAAGGCAGCCUUUGAAAGUUAUGAUUCAAGUGAACACCAGCGGAGAAGUAUCAAAAUCUGGCGUGGAGCCCUCAGAAUGCGUCGAACUUGUGAAGCAUGUGCAGUUAAGUUGCUCAAAUCUUAACUUUUCUGGAUUAAUGACCAUAGGGAUGCCAGACUACACAUCAACACCAGAGAACUUCAAGACUCUGUUGGACUGCAGAGCUCAGGUUUGCAAGGCUCUUGGAGUUGCAGAAUCGCAAUAUGAGCUGUCAAUGGGUAUGUCAGGUGACUUCGAGCAAGCGGUGAGCCUGGAUUUAAGCUUUAGUCGUUAACUGCCCUUUUAAGUUUUCGUUACAGUAUAAACAGAAAACCACCAAUGACUCGACUUAUAAUAUAUACUUAUAUUUACACAACAAAAAGGGCGGAUAAGUUCUCUAUAGCUGACAUUCUUUGUAAGUUCCCUAUGUUUCAUUUGGUGCAAGUCUGAAGAAUCUGUUUGUGAAUCCUUAAAAGGAUUAAUGAUAUUGUAUUGAAAUGGGGAGCACCAAUGUGAGAAUUGGAUCAACCAUAUUCGGACCGAGGGACUAUUCAAAGAAGAAGUGAUUCAGCUACAAUGUUUGUGUAAAUUUGCUUUUGCUGCUUCUCUUUCUUGAUUCAUUAAUGUUAACAGUCAACACUAUGAGAUAUUCUUAUGAUAAUGAUACCAUAUAGAUACACAA
Andrographis paniculata is the source of this 1159-nucleotide RNA transcript. RefSeq lists it as uncharacterized. The record is from RefSeq and is a predicted model, not a curated record. The transcript is spliced from 7 exons. NCBI's taxonomy places the organism in Eukaryota, Viridiplantae, Streptophyta, Magnoliopsida, Lamiales, Acanthaceae.